This 512-nucleotide ribosomal RNA is filed under the name uncultured bacterium. Its description in RNAcentral is "bacterial SSU rRNA". It matches the Rfam family "Bacterial small subunit ribosomal RNA", at positions 34 to 518 of the family's 1533-position model. The record is from RNAcentral.
CGCUGGCGGCGUGCCUAAUACAUGCAAGUCGAACGGUCUUUCUAUGGAAGCUUGCUUCCACUGAGAAGAUAGUGGCGAACGGGUGAGUAACACGUGGGUAACCUGCCCAUAAGAGGGGGAUAACAUCCGGAAACGGGUGCUAAUACCGCAUAGUUUUCUUGAUCGCAUGAUCGGGAAAGGAAAGACGGCCUUUGUGCUGUCGCUUAUGGAUGGACCCGCGGCGUAUUAGUUAGUUGGUGAGGUAAUGGCUCACCAAGACGAUGAUACGUAGCCGACCUGAGAGGGUGAUCGGCCACAUUGGGACUGAGACACGGCCCAAACUCCUACGGGAGGCAGCAGUAGGGAAUCUUCCGCAAUGGACGAAAGUCUGACGGAGCAACGCCGCGUGAGUGAAGAAAAGGUUUUCGGAUCGUAAAACUCUGUUGUCAGAGAAGAACAAGUUGGAGAGUAACUGCUCCAGCCUUGACGGUAUCUGACCAGAAAGCCACGGCUAACUACGUGCCAGCCGCCGC